GGCCUCCCUGUCCAGCAUCUGUCAUCUGGUAGGAUCUCUUCUCCUGCAAAGAGGACCCCUCCCACCCUAAAUAAUGAGGAGUCAAUCAGUAAAGAUCAAAGCGACGGCAGGUGCUUGGGACCUCAAUACUCGGGCUAAUGGCAAGCCUUUGGAGAAGAGCUCCAAGGGGUCCCUUGAUGUUCCUUUGGGAUCACGAGAAGCAGAACAGAUGGUACACUCAGGAGAACAGUGACAGAUGAUGACAAAGAUAUGACAUAUGUGAGGCCUCAUUUGCAGAAGUGCUGAACACUCAUGGCUAUAACUGGAAACAGUAAGUGCUAUAGACAAACAGCAGCUCCAGCUAAGAUGAAAUAUAGUCCGGAGUAUUGAAUGUAGAGAUUUUAGUUGCUGGGUUCUAAUCCUGUGUUUGCUAUUGACUCCUCAAAUAUGUGACUGGUAA
Molecule: long non-coding RNA, 439 nt
Organism: Gopherus evgoodei (Goodes thornscrub tortoise)
Lineage: Eukaryota; Metazoa; Chordata; Testudines; Testudinidae
Exons: 3
Source: RefSeq, a predicted model, not a curated record